GAUUAAGCCAUGCAUGUGUAAGUAUAAAUAGUUAACUUUGAAACUGCGAAUGGCUCAUUAUAUCAGUUAUAGUUUAUUUGGUGAAGUGUACUACUUGGAUAACCGUAGUAAUUCUAGGGCUAAUACAUGAGAAAGUCCUCUGGUGAGGUGUGUUUAUUAGAAUGAAAACCAUAUGCUUCGGCAUGAUAGUGAGUAAUAGUAACCUAUCGUAUCGCAUGCUUAAUGUAGCGAUGAGUCUUUCAAGUUUCUGCCCUAUCAGCUUUCGAUGGUAGUGUAUUGGACUACCAUG
Molecule: ribosomal RNA, 289 nt
Filed under: Blastocystis sp.
Lineage: Eukaryota; Bigyra; Opalinata; Blastocystidae
Description: partial small subunit ribosomal RNA
Rfam family: Eukaryotic small subunit ribosomal RNA
Source: RNAcentral